RNAcentral lists this transfer RNA (69 nucleotides) under Microtus californicus (California vole). RNAcentral describes it as "tRNA-Val". It matches the Rfam family "tRNA". Rfam says of the family: Transfer RNA (tRNA) molecules are approximately 80 nucleotides in length. Their secondary structure includes four short double-helical elements and three loops (D, anti-codon, and T loops). RNAcentral also lists the same sequence under 1 other name. Lineage: Eukaryota; Metazoa; Chordata; Mammalia; Rodentia; Cricetidae. The record is from RNAcentral.
CAUGACGUAGCUUACUAUUAAAGCGCCUGGCCUACACCCAGAAGACUCCACAACCAAUGGACAUCAUGA